This 573-nucleotide ribosomal RNA is filed under the name Penicillium aurantiogriseum. Its description in RNAcentral is "eukaryotic LSU rRNA". It matches the Rfam family "Eukaryotic large subunit ribosomal RNA", at positions 70 to 658 of the family's 3401-position model. The record is from RNAcentral. Lineage: Eukaryota; Fungi; Ascomycota; Eurotiomycetes; Eurotiales; Aspergillaceae.
AGGGAUUGCCCCAGUAACGGCGAGUGAAGCGGCAAGAGCUCAAAUUUGAAAGCUGGCUCCUUCGGGGUCCGCAUUGUAAUUUGCAGAGGAUGCUUCGGGAGCGGUCCCCAUCUAAGUGCCCUGGAACGGGACGUCAUAGAGGGUGAGAAUCCCGUAUGGGAUGGGGUGUCCGCGCCCGUGUGAAGCUCCUUCGACGAGUCGAGUUGUUUGGGAAUGCAGCUCUAAAUGGGUGGUAAAUUUCAUCUAAAGCUAAAUAUUGGCCGGAGACCGAUAGCGCACAAGUAGAGUGAUCGAAAGAUGAAAAGCACUUUGAAAAGAGAGUUAAAAAGCACGUGAAAUUGUUGAAAGGGAAGCGCUUGCGACCAGACUCGCUCGCGGGGUUCAGCCGGCAUUCGUGCCGGUGUACUUCCCCGCGGGCGGGCCAGCGUCGGUUUGGGCGGUCGGUCAAAGGCCCUCGGAAGGUAACGCCCCUAGGGGCGUCUUAUAGCCGAGGGUGCAAUGCGACCUGCCUAGACCGAGGAACGCGCUUCGGCUCGGACGCUGGCAUAAUGGUCGUAAGCGACCCGUCUUGAA